Molecule: long non-coding RNA, 290 nt
Filed under: Rattus norvegicus (Norway rat)
Lineage: Eukaryota; Metazoa; Chordata; Mammalia; Rodentia; Muridae
Description: long non-coding RNA NONRATT032820
Source: RNAcentral
CUAGAGAGGUCUUAGCUGACUGACUCCCACUGUGUGGGGGAAACAGAGGCCUGUGGGGUGGUAGGGCUCGUCCUCAGGCAACCUGAUCGCUGGCACGGCCCAGGCAGCACCAUUGUUGCUCUGAUGGCCUUUCUUCACCCACUUUGGCCUUUCCUAGGCGCCUGACCCCUGACCUCCUCUUUUUCCAUUCUCUUCAGGGAUCUCUGGGUUUUCCUGGUUUUCCUGGAGCCAGUGGAGAGAAGGGAGCUCGGGGCCUGUCUGGGAAAUCAGGACCUCGGGGAGAACGGGGC